UACGGAGGGUGCGAGCGUUGUUCGGAAUCACUGGGCGUAAAGCGCGUGUAGGCGGCCCAUUAAGUCUGAUGUGAAAGCCCGGGGCUCACCCCCGGAAGUGCAUUGGAAACUGAUGGGCUCGAGUCCCGGAGAGGAGGGUGGAAUUCCUGGUGUAGCGGUGAAAUGCGUAGAGAUCGGGAGGAAGGCCGGUGGCGAAGGCGGCGCUCUGGAACAUUUCUGACGCUGAGGCUCGAAAGCGUGGGGAGCAAACAGG
Molecule: ribosomal RNA, 253 nt
Filed under: uncultured bacterium
Lineage: Bacteria
Description: partial 16S ribosomal RNA
Rfam family: Bacterial small subunit ribosomal RNA
Source: RNAcentral